GACGAACGCUGGCGGCGUGCUUAACACAUGCAAGUCGAACGGAAAGGCCCUUCGGGGUGCUCGAGUGGCGAACGGGUGAGUAACACGUGGGUGAUCUGCCCUGCACUUUGGGAUAAGCCUGGGAAACUGGGUCUAAUACCGAAUAGGACCACGCAUUUCAUGGUGUGUGGUGGAAAGCUUUUGCGGUGUGGGAUGGGCCCGCGGCCUAUCAGCUUGUUGGUGGGGUAAUGGCCUACCAAGGCGACGACGGGUAGCCGGCCUGAGAGGGUGACCGGCCACACUGGGACUGAGAUACGGCCCAGACUCCUACGGGAGGCAGCAGUGGGGAAUAUUGCACAAUGGGCGCAAGCCUGAUGCAGCGACGCCGCGUGAGGGAUGACGGCCUUCGGGUUGUAAACCUCUUUCAAUAGGGACGAAGCGC
This 421-nucleotide ribosomal RNA is filed under the name uncultured Mycobacterium sp. RNAcentral's name for it is "bacterial SSU rRNA". It matches the Rfam family "Bacterial small subunit ribosomal RNA", at positions 28 to 453 of the family's 1533-position model. Lineage: Bacteria; Bacillati; Actinomycetota; Actinomycetes; Mycobacteriales; Mycobacteriaceae. The record is from RNAcentral.